This 259-nucleotide long non-coding RNA is filed under the name Brassica napus (rape). RNAcentral describes it as "long non-coding RNA (BNAP_LNC008281)". Lineage: Eukaryota; Viridiplantae; Streptophyta; Magnoliopsida; Brassicales; Brassicaceae. The record is from RNAcentral.
UUUUUGAUUAUUCUCCAGCUGCUUGAGGUUGUCCACGUGAUGCAAGUAGUUUUGAACGGCCAACAUCCUACAGAAAAUGGUUACAAGAGAUGCUAAAAACGUCAGAUAGAUUCCAAGAGGAGAUGCAAAACCAUGAAAGUAUUUGUUGAUGGUCAUCUAAACGAAUCGAUCAUCAACACGAGGAUGAUCAAUAUGCAUAGAUGUCAAUCAACAAACACAUUCAAGGGUUGCAAAAGAGAGUAACCAACCGAUAAAAAUC